Molecule: ribosomal RNA, 403 nt
Filed under: Fusobacteriota bacterium
Lineage: Bacteria; Fusobacteriati; Fusobacteriota
Description: Fusobacteria bacterium partial 16S ribosomal RNA
Rfam family: Bacterial small subunit ribosomal RNA
Source: RNAcentral
UGGGGAAUCUUGCACAAUGGGGGCAACCCUGAUGCAGCGACGCCGCGUGAGCGAUGAAGGUUUUCGAAUCGUAAAGCUCUGUCCUAUGGGAAGAUAAUGACGGUACCAUAGGAGGAAGCCCCGGCUAACUACGUGCCAGCAGCCGCGGUAAUACGUAGGGGGCGAGCGUUGUCCGGAAUUACUGGGCGUAAAGGGUUCGCAGGCGGCAUGGCAAGUCCGAUGUAAAAGGCGAAGGCUCAACCUUCGUAAGCAUCGGAAACUGUCAAGCUUGAGUGAAGGAGAGGCAAGUGGAAUUCCUAGUGUAGCGGUGGAAUGCGUAGAUAUUAGGAGGAAUACCGGUGGCGAAGGCGACUUGCUGGACGUCAACUGACGCUGAGGAACGAAAGCGUGGGUAGCAAACAGG